RNAcentral lists this long non-coding RNA (1322 nucleotides) under Monodelphis domestica (gray short-tailed opossum). Its description in RNAcentral is "lncRNA (ENSMODG00000031077.2)". Lineage: Eukaryota; Metazoa; Chordata; Mammalia; Didelphimorphia; Didelphidae. The record is from RNAcentral.
AGAAAGAAUGUUAAUGACACGAACGGGGAAGUUUGGAAAAGGGUAGAGAAAGGACAAUGAUUCCACUUUUGAAUAGAUUUUGAAGUGCUAAAGAGUGGUUAUUUCUAGCAGGCACUUGGGAAUUCAAAGCUGAAUGUAUAGAUUUGGAACUCAUUUGCAUCAAGGUGAUAAUUGAACCUGUGGUGAUAGUUACUUUAGGUGAGAAUUACAGAAUUUAAGUAAUGGAAGAAAUUUCUCUUUGAAAUUUAGUUUAACUCUGUUCUUCAUGAAUGAAUCCUCUCUAAAACAUCUCUAACAAGUAGUUCAUCAGCCUUCAUUUGAUCUCCAGUCACAGGACACUUACUAGUUCUCAAGGUUCUUUCCUCUCCCUUUUCCUCUCCAUAUCUAUUCAGUUGAUUCCAUUUUCACACCUCAUAUUUGUCCCUUUAAUUUCAUUUAUUUGUCCAUCUCAAGCUUUCUUAUUUAUUAUCCCAUCCCUUCAUGUACAAAUUAUUCUAACUUUCUUUCUCUAGCAUCUUCCCACUCCUCUGCACAGCUGUCUUCCUAAGGAAUAGAUCUGAACACAUCAUCAUUGGAAGACCACCAGAAUGCCUCUUCUCAGCUGGGCUCUGACCUCUUUCCAUCACCGCUACAUGGACUUUCACCAUAUCGAGGAUGUGGUGCCAGGUACUGAGGUUUUAGCACUGUGCCUCUGUGCCAAUCUCAUCUUGGAAAGUCCCUCAAGUGCUUGGGAUCUUCUCAUCUUGUGGCAUCCAUCAUCUGCCAUGGAAACUUCCUUAUCCCAUUGGUGAGUUUGUUCCAGAGCUUCCAUUUUGGAGAGAGGCUCAAGUUGUCCAAAUUCAUUCCCUUCCUGGCUUUACUUCCGACUUUCCCAACUUCACCAUGCCCUUACACUGGAUACCUUCAUCCUUUUCUCCAUCCCUGCCCCCAAUUACCCAGCUUCCUUUUGGAUAUUGCCUUCUACCCAUUAGAAUGCGAGUUUCUUGAGGACAGGGACUGUCUUUUCCCCUUUAUUGGAUUCCUGACACUCAGCACAGUAUCUGACAUAGUUGCCUUGCCUUGCAACCCACAUUGGAACAUGAAAACUCAGCAACAUUCUGACAAUUGUUUUGGUACCUGUUUGUAUAUCUCAAGUGGUGGGCUCUUGAGCCCAUUCUAUUAAAAAAAAUCCCUACCUUCUGUCUUCCAAUCUCUCAGAUAGUUAAGGACAGUGAUCAUGUCCCCAUCAUCUUCCCUUCUCCAAGCUAGUUUUGGUGAAACACUUCUGCCAAGCUUCAUUUUGUACAGUUGCAAGUCUUCUCAUUUUUGAGCAGUAGUGAGAC